This is a long non-coding RNA of Ahaetulla prasina, 2797 nucleotides long. RefSeq lists it as uncharacterized. Lineage: Eukaryota; Metazoa; Chordata; Lepidosauria; Squamata; Colubridae. The transcript is spliced from 3 exons. The record is from RefSeq and is a predicted model, not a curated record.
AGUGGUAAUAAACCAGAAAAGAAAAAAAAACCAGCUAAGUAAACCAAGGGACACUUUCCAGUUCCAAAGUGAAAAGAAAAUGUGGCCACAAUCCCAUGAAUUCUUUUUUCCUGGAAGUAAUUUUACUGGUUUGUGAGAUUUCUACGUGUAGAAUGGAAUCGGGCAGGUAAUGCCAGAUUGGAGACAUAAUUAAAAUUGUUGAACAAAUUCCACUGCAUCUUAAGUUUUGCUGAGAAGCUUGUACAGUGGGAACCAGAAAUUUCCAGUGAGAGCUUGUUUGGAGUUCAGCUGCCACUUUGCAGGAUAUUUAAGGGUGCCUAGGGAAGUGAGGCUGCUGGAGUAGGAUUGUAAAUUGUCUUAAACAGCUACAGCCAAGACUUCAAAAGUGCCAAACAUAAUUUAAAAGAAAUCACCAACCCUGUCCUUCUAGGGAGGAGAAGGCCAAACAUAUUUCUGGAUACACUGAAAUUGUAUUGGUGAGAAAUUUUGGAAGAGAAGAGGGAAGGAAAGGAAAGGGUAAAACAGCUAGGCUUGCAAUUUAAACCCAAUCCAGCUGGGGAGAAAAAAAAGAAGUUGUUUUGUUUGCUCAUUCUGAGAAUUCGGCUGUACUUCGGGAGAUGGCUUUGCAUAUCUGGGACCUCGAAGCAGCUUGUCAGCACCAGCCUAGACCAGUUUCAACAAUAUGUUGGGCCAAGAGGAGACAGAAAUGCCAUUGGUCAGAAGGAUAGAGAGGAACCUCUCUACAUUUUGCAAAGGAGAAAAAUGCAGCCAAAUAAUGACAAACAAGAGGAGAGGAGAGGAGAGGAGAGGAGAGGAGAGGAGAGGAGAGGAGAAGAGAAGAGAAGAGAAGAGAAGAGAAGAGAAGAGAAGAGAAGAGAAGAGAAGAGAAGAGAAUAAUAGAGUUGGAAAGGACUUUGGAAAUCUUCUAGUCCAACCCCCUACCUAUCUGAACCCUACACCACUUCAGAUAAAUGGUUAUCUAACUUCUUCUUAAAAACUUCCAGUGUUGGAGCAUUCACAACUUCUGGAGGCAAGUUCUUUCACUGAUUAAUCGUUCUAACUGUCAGGAAAUUUCUCCUUAGUUCUAAGUUGCUUCUUUCCUUGAUUAGUUUCCACCCAUUGCUUCUUGUCUUGCCCUUAGGUGCUUUGAAGAAUAGCUUUACUUCCUCUUCUUUGUGGCAGCCCUUGAGAUAUUGGAACAUUUCUAUGUCAUGUCAACCCAAGUCCUUCUUUUCAUUAAACUAGACACACCCAGUUCCUGCAACUGUUCUUCAUAUGUUUUAGCCUCCAGUCCCUUAAUCAUCUUUGUUGCUCUUCUCUGCACUCUUUCUAGACUCUAGAGUUUAGAAUGGAUCCUCCAAUGCUCUACCUUCCUCUGAGAACAGGAAUUCUGGUGUUUCCCAAUGAAAAAGUUAAAACAUUGCACACUGAUUGAAACUCAAAUACUGUAUAUACUCAUGAGUAUAUACUCAUGGAUAAACCCAUGUGUUAGCAACCAUUCAUUUGGUGAUCGUUCAGAGUUACAGUGGCACUGAACGAGGAGACUCAUGGCUGGUCCUUGAAAUUUCAGCUGUUGCAUUUUAAGAACUUGGCAACCGGUUGGUAAUUGUGACAGUUGUAAGACCCUGUGGUCAUGUGAUCCCAUGACCUUCACUGCAGGUUUCCGACAAGCAAAGUCAAUGGGGAAGCCAGUGGGAGAUUGCAAAUAGCAAUCAGAUGACUUUGCACCUAAUGUACUGAAUGUGCAGGGCUGGUCUAACAACUACAACUGGAAUUGCUGCUGUAAGUUUGUAUGAUGACAUAGUGUCGUGCUUUAUGACUAUCACCUAAGCAAUGGAGUUCAUUUUAAUUAUUUAUUUAUUUAUUUAUUUGUCACAACAGUAUAUAUAUGCAUAAGCAUGAAAUAACUAUAUGAUAUAGUUAUUGGCGACCUCCCAUCAACCAGUGCGCUCCCAUAGGGAGGUUCUCCUCAGGGUGCCGUCGGCCAGUUAAUGUCGGCUGGCGGCGCCCAGGGGGAGGGCCUCCUCUCUGGGGGCACCAACCCUCUGGAACAAGUUACCACCAGGUAUCCGUCAACUCCCUGAUCUUCGGACCUUUCGACGCGGGCUGAAAACAUUUUUGUUUCACCAUGCAGGACUGGCCUAGUGGGGUUUUAAUGAGGGGUUUUAUUGGUUUUAAGUUAUUCAACCAACUCUAAAUUUUCCUUUUAAACUGGUCUUAAAAAUUGUACUAACUGUCUUUACUUUGACUGUAAACUGCCCUGAGUCCUUUGGGAGAAGGGCAGUAUAGAAAUUGAAACAAUAAAUAAAUAAAUAAAAUAUAAGCGUAUAUAUAAGCAUAAGUAUGUAAUAACUAUAAGAAAUUGGAUACAAUCAAAGGGAACAUUAGGACAGGAACGGUAGGCACGUUGGUGCUCUUAUGCACGCCCCUUACAGACCUCUUAGGAAUGGGGUGAGGUCAAUAGUAGAUAGUUUUUGGUUAAAGCUUUGGGGAUUUUGGGAAGAGACCACAGAGUCUGGUAGUGCAUUCCAGGCAUUAACAACUCUUACGGAAGUCAUAUUUUCUGCAAUCAAGAUUGGAGUGGUUCACAUUAAGCCUAAAUCUAUUUAAAUCUAGUUCCUAGCCCUAAUUGCUCUUCUUAAGCAAGGACUAUCUGUAUUUGUGAAUAAACCCAUCAGUGAAUAAGCUGAAAUUGGUAUUUUUAAGUGCAUUUUGGCAGCUAAAAUUCUGUUUUUCCACAAAUAAAUACGGUACCUGUUUUGUUUUUUUAAGUUUCCUGGAGCCUCGAAGACUCACU